Molecule: non-coding RNA, 83 nt
Organism: Lipomyces chichibuensis
Lineage: Eukaryota; Fungi; Ascomycota; Lipomycetes; Lipomycetales; Lipomycetaceae
Source: the annotation of a GenBank genome assembly
GCCUUGGUGGCUUAGUUGGUUAAAGCGUGAGUCUCAUAUUGUGUGUUAUCUCAAGGUCGUGGGUUCGACUCCCUCCCGAGGCA